This is a non-coding RNA of Pelobates cultripes (western spadefoot toad), 289 nucleotides long. The record is from the annotation of a GenBank genome assembly. NCBI's taxonomy places the organism in Eukaryota, Metazoa, Chordata, Amphibia, Anura, Pelobatidae.
GGGAGAGAUUUCAUCGGAUUAGUCAAUGUCAGCAGAAGAUCAUCUGUGAGUAAUGAAACUGUCAGAUCUCUGAUACAGGUCAGGAUCCCUCUGAUAUUGGGCUCAUUUUUAAUCUUUGAUAUUAAUUGUUCUAUUGACAAUAUAAAGCUUGGCGGGGAUAAUGGACUCCCUUGCCGAGUACCAUUUGGGACAAAAGAUUUUGCAGAGGUUUGGGUGUAGAGAUCCAAGAUUGCCCUCAGAAUGUAGGGAGGGAAGCCAAAUUUGAUAAGGACAGUUGAGGUACAACCAG